GCAAACUUGGUCAUUUAGAGGAAGUAAAAGUCGUAACAAGGUUUCCGUAGGUGAACCUGCGGAAGGAUCAUUAAAAUGAACCUGAACACUUAGCGGUCUUCUGCUGGCAACAGCGGAUGGCCGCCAAAGUGAAAACCAAACGUUGAACCUAUCUACUUUUUGCUUCGGCAGCACGCUCUUCGGGGCGGUAAGGCUGCCAGAGGCCCCAUUAAAACUAGUUGAUGAAAUGUCAUGCUGUCUGAUACUUUAUUAGUAUUUUGAGAAAUCAAAUAACUUGGUUAAAACUUUCAGCAACGGAUCUCUUGGUUCCCGCAUCGAUGAAGAACGCAGC
RNAcentral lists this unclassified non-coding RNA (331 nucleotides) under uncultured fungus. Its description in RNAcentral is "partial contains small subunit ribosomal RNA, internal transcribed spacer 1, and 5.8S ribosomal RNA". The stretch from base 1 to 73 matches the Rfam family "Eukaryotic small subunit ribosomal RNA", at positions 1759 to 1831 of the family's 1831-position model. The record is from RNAcentral. Lineage: Eukaryota; Fungi.